GUGCUUGCUCUGGCAGCACAUAUAUGGAAGUGAAGGAUGCAGAGAUUAGCAUGACCCCUGCACAAGGAUGACAUGCAAAUUCGCGAAGCGUUCCAUAUUUUU
Molecule: small nuclear RNA, 102 nt
Organism: Nycticebus coucang (slow loris)
Lineage: Eukaryota; Metazoa; Chordata; Mammalia; Primates; Lorisidae
Source: RefSeq, a predicted model, not a curated record